RNAcentral lists this ribosomal RNA (305 nucleotides) under uncultured bacterium. RNAcentral's name for it is "bacterial SSU rRNA". It matches the Rfam family "Bacterial small subunit ribosomal RNA", at positions 338 to 640 of the family's 1533-position model. The record is from RNAcentral.
CCUACGGGGGGCAGCAGUGAGGAAUAUUGGUCAAUGGGCGGAAGCCUGAACCAGCCAAGUCGCGUGAGGGAAUAAGGCCCUACGGGUCGUAAACCUCUUUUGCCGGGGAGCAAGGGCCGGGACGCGUCCGGGCCCGGAGAGUACCCGGAGAAAAAGCAUCGGCUAACUCCGUGCCAGCAGCCGCGGUAAUACGGAGGAUGCGAGCGUUAUCCGGAUUUAUUGGGUUUAAAGGGUGCGUAGGCGGGCUUUUAAGUCAGCGGUAAAAAUUCGGGGCUCAACCCCGUCCGGCCGUUUAGACUGGGGGC